AAGCGGUACAGGAUGGAUGUCAGAGGACGAGGGGGUCACCUCUGGACCGCCAGGAAAAUCAGAAGACGUCUUAGAUCUUCUCCGUCCUAACUU
RNAcentral lists this long non-coding RNA (93 nucleotides) under Nannospalax galili (Upper Galilee mountains blind mole rat). RNAcentral's name for it is "ZNFX1 antisense RNA 1 conserved region 2 (ENSNGAG00000010274.1)". It matches the Rfam family "ZNFX1 antisense RNA 1 conserved region 2". The record is from RNAcentral. Lineage: Eukaryota; Metazoa; Chordata; Mammalia; Rodentia; Spalacidae.